Molecule: long non-coding RNA, 443 nt
Organism: Oncorhynchus gorbuscha (pink salmon)
Lineage: Eukaryota; Metazoa; Chordata; Actinopteri; Salmoniformes; Salmonidae
Exons: 3
Source: RefSeq, a predicted model, not a curated record
GUGGGUCUAGCUAUAUAGGGUUAAUGGCUUGAUUUCCCCUCUAGGUAUGAUGAGUGGGUCUAGCUAUAUAGGGUUAAUGGCUUAAUUUCCCCUCUAGGUAUGAUGAGUGGGUCUAGCUAUAGGGUUAAUGGCUUAAUUUCCCCUCUAGGUAUGAUGAGUGGGUCUAGCUAUAUAGGGUUAAUGGCUUGAUUUCCCCUCUAGGUAUGAUGAGUGGGUCUAGCUAUAUAGGGUUAAUGGCUUAAUUUCCCCUCUAGGUAUGAUGAGUGGGUCUAGCUAUAGGGUUAAUGGCUUAAUUUCCCCUCUAGGUAUGAUGAGUGGGUCUAGCUAUAGGGUUAAUGGCUUAAUUUCCCCUCUAGGUAUGAUGAGUGGGUCUAGCUAUAGGGUUAAUGGCUUAAUUUCCCCUCUAGGUAUGAUGAGUGGGUCUAGCUAUAGGGUUAAUGGCU